This 1532-nucleotide long non-coding RNA is filed under the name Equus asinus (donkey). Its description in RNAcentral is "lncRNA (ENSEASG00005027383.1)". The record is from RNAcentral. Lineage: Eukaryota; Metazoa; Chordata; Mammalia; Perissodactyla; Equidae.
CACAAAGACUCUACAGCCAAACUAAUAGCAUUAGUAAGAGAUUUGAUUGAGAUUUUUGGACAUAGAUCACAUACAAAUACCAGCUGUGUUUCUAUAUACCAGCAACAGUGAAAAAAACCCUUUUUUUUUUUUUUUUUUUACGAAAUAUCAUAUAUAACAGCAAUAAAACAGACAAUGUACGUAGGAGGAAAUCCAAGAAAAGACACAUAGGCAUCCAUGGAAAAAAACUGUGAAACGUAAUUGAAAUAUGUAUUAGUAUAAACUCACUAUUCCUACAAAUUCCAAACGCUCGAUGGUAUAACACACUGGAAGUUUUUUCCCCCGCUCUUCCAACAGCUCACUGGGGGUGUUCAGUGGGAAGACUUCCACACAGAGACUGGGGGACCCAGCGUCUUCCAUUUUGUGGCCUCAUCAUUUUUGGGGUCUCGGACUCCUCUUUGUGAGCCUCUGCAUCCUUCUACAGUUGGAGGAAGAGCCAGGGCGAGCUAGAGCCCGUGGGAGGACCAGGCCUGGAAGUGUCACCUAAUCCAGCUCUGCCCUCGUCUUGCUGUUCAGAACUCACGCUGGCCGCACUGCACUGGGAGCAGGAAUCAGGCAAAGAGUCUCAGAAGAGUCUGCUGAUCUCUCAAAAGUGACAAUGGGGAGAAGGAUGUCAGACACUCCUCGAUCAACCCUAGUCCUUGGAUAACGGGGGUAAUAGAAGCUCCUGUUUUCAGCUGGUACAUGUCUGGACACACGUCUGGGCACGUGUCUGCCUGGAAUAAAGACCAUAUUUCCCAGCCUCCUUUGCAGCUAAGUAAGAUCAUCGGGGAGUUUCCGCUUUCGUGUUCUCCACUCAAGCAAUUAGCCCGGCGCCGCGGGAAUAAUCCAAGAUGAGAGUCCCAUCUCAAGAAUCCAUGUGGAAUCCAACACUGGGAGACAAUGCUGCGAGCGAAGGAAGGAAGACAAAAAGCUAAAGGAGCAGCCCUGCCCGUCGUUCCAAUUCUCCAGAAGUUCCUGAGAACGUAUGAGAAGCACUGUGCACAGACUCGGACGUCCGUGUGCCUGGCCGUCAAGAGGGACCUGAAAGCUGGCAUUGACAAUGGACAGAUUCUCAGGAAGUUUAUACUUGUAAGACCUGAUGACUCCCCGCCAAGCAUCCCACCGAUUUCCUUGGAACCUUUGCUUAUGACAAUUCGAGAAGAGUGUUACACGCUGGGGAAAGAGAUCUGCAUCUGGGGCCUUCAACUGAGCAACCCAGAGAUUGCCAGACUCUUGAACUUCCAUUAUUGCGAGUGAGAAGUCAUAUAUAAGGACUUUACUUCUGGAAAGGGCAAAUAGAUCAUUCAGACCAACCCUUUCACUGAGGACAACAAGAUAAGCUGAAAUACACAGUAUGAGAGAUAAAGAAGCUUGACUCUACCUCACAUCAUACCCCAGAAUCAAUUCCAAGUGGAUUGUAAAUUCCAAAGGCAAUACACUAAAGUUUCUGGAAGAUAAUAUAGGAAAAUAUCAUCAUGACUUUGGGUGGAGAAAAACUUCUCAAACAGGAC